UACCUGAGAACGAAGGUGUGUAUGGGC
This 27-nucleotide non-coding RNA is filed under the name Homo sapiens (human). Lineage: Eukaryota; Metazoa; Chordata; Mammalia; Primates; Hominidae. The record is from RNAcentral.